Long non-coding RNA from Brienomyrus brachyistius, 462 nucleotides. RefSeq lists it as uncharacterized. The transcript is spliced from 2 exons. The record is from RefSeq and is a predicted model, not a curated record. NCBI's taxonomy places the organism in Eukaryota, Metazoa, Chordata, Actinopteri, Osteoglossiformes, Mormyridae.
AUUGUGCAGUCCCCCCACAGCAAACUCAGCAGACCCAGACUCCCAAACUGCAAACAAGAACGAAGGCAGCAUGAUUAAAUACCAGGCUCCUUGUGAUCAGCCUUCACGAGGAAUCCAUACGACAAACUAAAUUGUGUUGGGCGCAGAUACUCUCACCAUUAAGAGAGCGAGGAAACGUGGAGAUGUCCCAUUGCAAACUGCAUGUUGCACGCAACGCGACACAUUGCCCACGAGAAGCGCCAGCAUAAGGCAAAGAUCCUGCACACAAACAGGAUCCUGUAGAGGGCACUGUCUGUGCUAAAUCGAAGGCUCUGUCAUGCAAAAUAUCUUCCGCCUGUGACGUAUCGCUCAGCUAUAUGCCGAUGAUGCAGCUUCAAGUCACCCCGGAAGUUUGAAGUUAACCUUUACUGCCUCAGCAGGAGUUCACAUCAAUAAAAUACGUUUACAAAUGUUUGUUAGAAA